GAAAGUAAGAAAGGGCGCAUGGCGGAUGCCUUGGCUCUCGGAGGCGAAGAAGGACGUGAUAAGCUGCGAUAAGCUUCGGGUAGGUGCAAAUAACCCUUGAUCCGAAGAUUUCCGAAUGGGACAACCCAGCUGUCUGAAGGACAGUUAUCUACAUAAUUUGUAGAGGCGAACGCAGGGAACUGAAACAUCUUAGUACCUGUAGGAAGAGAAAAUAAAUAAUGAUUUCCCUAGUAGUGGCGAGCGAACGGGAAAGAGCCCAAACCUGACAUGUAGCAAUGCAUGUGAGGGGUUGUAGGACCGCGUUAUCGUACGAUGCGAGUGAGCAGAAGAGUCUGGAAAGUCUCACCAUAGCGGGUGACAGUCCCGUAAGCGAAGCUUAAGUCGACGUAGCGGUAUCCUGAGUAACGCGGAACACGAGGAAUUCUGCGCGAAUCUGCCGGGACCAUCCGGUAAGGCUAAAUACUCCCGAGAGACCGAUAGCGAACCAGUACUGUGAAGGAAAGGUGAAAAGCACCCCGAGUAGGGGAGUGAAAGAGAUCCUGAACCCAUGCGCCUACAAGCGGUCGGAGCACGCUUAGCGUGUGACGGCGUGCCUUUUGCAUAAUGAACCUACGAGUUACCGUCGCGUGCAAGGAUAAGUGGUUCAGCCACGCAUCCGUAGUGAAAGCGAGCCUGAAAAGGGCGUCAAGUACGCGGUGGUAGACGCGAAACCAAGUGAUCUACACUUAGCCAGGUUGAAGUCCCGGUAACACGGGAUGGAGGACCGAACCAAUAAGCGUUGAAAAGCUUCUGGAUGAGCCGAGUGUAGGAGUGAAAGGCCAAUCAAACUUGGAGAUAGCUCGUACUCCCCGAAAGGCAUUUAGGUGCCGCGUCGGAUGUUUAGCGUGAGAGGUAGAGCGACCGAUAGGUCAAGAGGGCUUCACCGCCUAUCGAGACCUGACGAACUCCGAAUGCUCACGUUUAGAAGUCCGGCAGUAAGGGGGCGGGUGCUAAGGUCCGUCCCCGAGAGGAGAAGAAUCCAGACCGUCGUCUAAGGUCCCGGAAUUCUGCCUGAGUUAGUCUAACGAAGUCUGGUCCCCGCGACAGCUAGGAUGUUGGCUUGGAAGCAGCCAUUCAUUUAAAGAGUGCGUAACAGCUCACUAGUCGAGGGUCCGGGCAUGGAUAAUAAUCGGGUAUAAGGCAGAUACCGAAGGCACGGGAUAGCAAAUAAUAAAAGUAUCGGUAGGGGAGCAUUCCAUGUGCGCAGAAUGGUGAAGGUGACUGAUCCUGGAGCGCAUGGAAAAGCAAAUGUAGGUAUAAGUAACGAUAAAAAGGGUGAGAUUCCCUUUCGCUGUAAGACUAAGGUUUCCCGGGCAAUGUCAAUCAGCCCGGGGUCAGUCGGGUCCUAAGCCUCAGCCGAACGGCGAGGGCGAUGGCAGAUACGGUUAAUAUUCCGUAACUACCUUAAGGAGCGAUGUGGAGACGGAGUCGUGAAACUUCCGCGGACCGACGGAAUGGUCCGUUAAAGAGUGUAGAUAUUGAUGAUUGUAGGCAAAUCCGCAAUCAGAGUCGAACUUGAAAGUACAGGCAUCUCUUCGGAGACGCUUGAUAGAGAAGGUAAGCAUACUCCCGAGAAAAUCCGCUAAGCAUAUUUUUAAGGUACCCGUACCGCAAACGGACACACGUAGUCGAGUAGAACAUACUAAGGCGUUGAGAGAUUCAUGGUUAAGGAACUAGGCAAACUGACCCCGUAACUUCGGGAUAAGGGGUCCUCGUCGUAAGGCGAGGCGCAGAGAAUAGGUCCAGGCAACUGUUUAACAAAAACACAGGGCUGUGCGAACUCGAAAGAUGAAGUAUACAGCCUGACACCUGCCCGGUGCCGGAAGGUUAAGAGGAGAUGUCACCGCAAGGGAAGCAUUGAAUUGAAGCCCCGGUAAACGGCGGCCGUAACUAUAACGGUCCUAAGGUAGCGAAAUUCCUUGUCGGGUAAGUUCCGACCUGCACGAAUGGUGUAAUGAUCCGGACGCUGUCUCAACC
Molecule: ribosomal RNA, 2016 nt
Filed under: metagenome
Description: bacterial LSU rRNA
Rfam family: Bacterial large subunit ribosomal RNA
Source: RNAcentral